CUUUCUUGUUAGCUUUUCUAAAAAGUAAAACCCUGCUCGACCUUGUGAUUCUUGCUGAGCUCUUGUCUCCGAAGAUGAGACAGAACUAAGUUGUUCCCACUGAGUUGCUAAAGAGAUUUGCUGAUUAGAAAGGUGCCACGUGACAGGAACAAGCCAAAGCCACCGUGGCUAGGGUAAACGCUACAGGAGGGUAUUAGCUGUGUACCAUGGUGAGGGAAACAGGCUUCAAGUGGUGUCUAUAGGAGAGGACUAAAUGGUCUUGCCACAGAUUUAAUUUCUCUGGUUUGAGUCUGUGACAGAAACUUCAUCAUAAGAGAGUAUUCUAUCCAGGUUCCUCUGUUGCUCCCAUCAUUGUGGUGGCUUGAGCCCCUGAGGAUCUGGAAACAAUAUAUUUAACCAUGAAUGCUCCAGAAAUCCUGCUUUGGACAGCAACAGCGUUUCUAUCUUUGAGUUUCAGCCAGGGACAAGGCAGUGUCAACCAAAGACAAGGGCAGCUGGAAAAGCUGAGGGGUCAGACUGUCACCCUGGAGUGUACUUUCUCCACUGGAUACCGGUAUUAUUACUUAUUUUGGUACAGACAGCAACGAUCAGGGACGAUGGAUUUCCUCUUCCGAAUAGAUGAGAGUAAGGCUGAAAAGAAUGGAGCUGGGAGAAGGUUUUCUGCACAAUUCAGGAAAUCCUCAAAAUUCUUUAGUUUAACCAUUAAAGAGCUAGAGCCGACGGACACUGCGAUGUAUUUCUGUGCUCUGUGGGAAGACACCGUGAGAGGUUUAAUAGGGAGCCCUGUACAAAAACCCGUCCCCUUGGCUUUCUUAUCAUGAGAAACACAACUGUAGAGUAGAAUCCCCAGGCCGCAGACAGAUGGUUAAACCAGAUCGUGGGUCUGGUAUAAACCACAAGACCUGACACCUAUGAAGACUUAUGGGCCUCAUUCACCAUUGUAUUACCUCAGAUUAAUGCCAGUUUACCCACAGUGGGUCUGCUCCCAGCUGCGGUGAAUCACUGUGGAUCAAAUGAAGUCAACUGGGCCAGGUCCACCAUAGGCAUAGAUAGGCUGUAGUUCCAUUCCCCAGCUGAAGUAAACCAGCAUGGGGUCAAUGGGGCAGAUGCACAAAGACACAACACACAGAAGCACACAGACACACACGCACGUGCAAACACAAACAUAGAGACAGAUAGAAAGACACCUAACACCCACAAAACCAGCACACACAACACAGAGCUUUUAAGUCUUCCCACAAUGUCUUUAAUUCAGUUCUCACCAAGUAGCAGCAAGAAGGACAAUGAAAACGAAAAUGAAUAAGAAAAAAUGACAGAAAGUCAGAAACCGAACUUCCAGGAAGUGUAGUGGGAGGAAUUUGUCCCACGAGUUCUGACUGGUGCUUCGGUUGCAAAACCCAGCACGUCUCCUGUGUCUGUGACGCAUUUCGCGAACCCCUCCCUCUUCUGCUCGGCUGGUCUCGCAUUAACCGCUCCAAGUCCUUGUUCCGAGAAGUUGCCUUUAAGAUUCUUCGCAGAGACCUCUCAGCUUGUCCGGCUGCCGCUGUCUGAGGCACCAUGGAGACGCGUUUCAUUCUCAGCCUUUGGGUCUUUAACCAACUAGAUGCGGUGCUGGGUGACUCGGUCAGGUCCAAUGAAUCCGAGGUGUCCAGGUCAGAAGGAGACACCGUGACCCUCAGCUGUUCUUAUGAAACCAGCUACAUUGCUGGUGUCUAUCUCUAGUGGUACCGUCAGUAUCCGAACCGAGCCCGCAGUACAUCCUCCUGAGAGGAGCAAAAGGGAAGAGUAGCUGCGAUACCGCAGGUUUCGCCCAGGAGAGGUUUUCUUCCCAGGUUGAUGACAGCUCCACAAUUCUGAACAUCGCAGCCCUGGAGCUGGCAGACACAGCGGUGUAUCUCUGCUCCCUGAGUCUGGCACAGUGACAGAGCCACCCAGCAGAGCUGUACAAACCCUGCUUCCCCCCAAGCCCUGCUACAGGGGAAGUUACAGACAUUAAAACGGGCAGCAGCGGCUUGAAACAGAUGGAGUCCUGACACUGCUUAACGAUACAACUCCCCUUGACAGUUACAGGUUUAUUUAAAGAGCUAAUUUAAACAUCACCCUUGGAUAUGGGCAUGAUCUUUAAUUAGGAAACUAUUAAUACCGUUUUUCUUAGCUUGCUAGACGACCUGUAUCGGUGUAGUGUGGAGGAAAAAUCAUUUGCAGUUAAAUAAGUGUUAAAAGUGAGUACAAAUGUAGAUGAAGUGAACUAUUGUUGAAAAUAGAAAUUGAGAUUAAAUGCGAAUGAAAAAAAUCCCUUUUCACACUGACAAUAUACUGUUAAAUUGAUCAUUUAUGGUGAAAUGGGGGUAAAAUAGGUGGAAUACGGGGGAAUCGUUAGAAAUACCCGGUUUUGAGUGGUGGGGUAGAGCUGCAGUUACCAACUCUCCCAGAGUCAGAUCAAUACUCCUAUUGUAGCGACAUUUGCAUUUUGGGUUGAUUUGUUCAGAAACUAUUUAAUUGCAAGACACUUUCCCCAAGAAUAUGUGUUGAGAGCCGAGAAGGAUAAUGUGACAAAGCGUCGCCAUCAGCUGCUGGGAAAUAUAAGCUCAGUUUGCCAUUGGAAACCCUUCCACGCUAUAUAGAUUUUCGCUUUAACUCGGGCCGUCGGCAAAGGCCGCAGUGGAAAGACGAAAAUAAUUUAAAACAAUUAUUUCAGGAGUUCUGGCCGGGCGUUUCAAAGGAGGUCAACAGAGUUGGGCACCUCAUCCCGUUACAUUUGUCUUGUGAUAACCCCGGACACUAUUGCUGGUGCUGCGCUUGGAGACUCGGUUCAAGCCAAGGAAUCCGAAGUGUCUGGAUCGGUUGGCGAAUCUGUGACACUCAGCUGUUCUUACACUUCCAUCGAUAGCUAUGUCUAUCUCCAUUGGUACCGACAGUAUCCGAACCAAGCCCCACAGUCCAUUCUCUAUAGAGGAGCGAAGUCCUACAGUGGCCGAAGGGGAGGUUUUCUUCCCAGGCUGAUGACAGCUCCCCAGUUCUGAACAUCACAGCCCCGGAGCCGGCGGACAGAGCCCUGUAUUACUGCGCCCUGCACUGGGCACAGUGACACAGCCACAUAGGGAAGCCGUACAAACACCCUCCUUUCCCAGCGGCAGGCGAUGUUAGGCACAUCAUAGGCAUCUAUUUUCAGGAAUGCACAAGAUUAAAACCAUGCCUUCCAGGGAUAUGGUGAAAAGGGCUGUGAACGCAGCUGCAUGUACUCUGUAGGAGCAGGAUUUUAUAAUUGUACUAUGAGAAUUAAUGUAUGGAUUUGAUCUGAUUUUGCCAGUUACCCUUUUUAAAUAAAAGAAAGAAAUGACCCUUUGGGACUAUGGGAUUUUGUUUCCCAUAUGCAUUACAAAUUGGGCCCUUUUAGUUUUUUGUUUUAAAGUUUAGUUAGUAAAAAACAAAAUCCUGUAUUGUGUCUAUGUUAAGUAAAUUAGAAAAACGUUAAAGGUCUGGGCCUCAAUGUAAAUUGUUUUGGUUAUAAAAUUUAGCAAGGUUUAAUUUACAAUGUCUUUUUGCUUGAUAUAAAGUACUACUGUUUGUAUUCUCAAAGGUCUCUGUAAAAAACUGUUUGUGUAAAUAAAAAUGCAUGCAUCAGGAGAAAAAAAAAGGUGUAAAGGCCAUUGUCAAAGCCAAAUGGUCAAGAAAAAAAAAGUACAACAAUUUAACAAACUUAUCAAUGCCAAAAAACAAUCAAUGCACAUCCAUAACUGAGGAAAGGCAAAUUAACGACCCUAAGGUGAAGGCUGACACCCCUAAAAAUAAAAUAAUUAAUUAAAUUUAAAAACAAAACAAAAUGGCCCUCUUAAAAGUGCAUUAAAAUGUUAACAUCAAAAAAUAACACCAAUUUUAAAAAGUAACCAGUCACAAACUAACACAGCAAAAUCCAUAAACUUCAACCAAAAAACCAAAACCAAACUAUAAAAACAGGGUACUUUGCCAUAAAACUUUGGGUUCAUCUUGCCACUACUCCAAAAGCAUGAAUUUGCAACCAACAAAGCCGGCUCCCCUCUGCAACCAAUCUGGCUGUCCACUAAAUUAAUCCAAACUCUAAAAUGGUAAUUAUAAUCAUC
This is a long non-coding RNA of Dermochelys coriacea (leatherback sea turtle), 4100 nucleotides long. RefSeq lists it as uncharacterized. Lineage: Eukaryota; Metazoa; Chordata; Testudines; Dermochelyidae. The transcript has 4 exons. The record is from RefSeq and is a predicted model, not a curated record.